RNAcentral lists this long non-coding RNA (630 nucleotides) under Helianthus annuus (common sunflower). RNAcentral describes it as "sRNA HanXRQr2_Chr07g0292771". Lineage: Eukaryota; Viridiplantae; Streptophyta; Magnoliopsida; Asterales; Asteraceae. The record is from RNAcentral.
UUUGCUCAUCCCUAAGUGUAUCGAAUAGCAUAUACAUACCAACCAAUACCAUACCGAGGUGACCGUUUUUGUCCCCGUUGACUUAAAAUCUUGGAUCUCUCACAGGGUGGCGGAGAUUAAUGGAGGCAGCACUACCCUAGUAGCGUUUAAUUGUUGACGCGUUUUAUUAUCUCAAGUUUAUAUAGUAGUGCAAUCGAAAUAACUUAGAAUUCACAGAAACAUACCAGGAAAGUAUAUACCAAACAUGCUUCUAUAGUUAAGAUGUAAAUGCAUGUUGUUAUGCAAAGUGUAAAUGAGCCUAAUUGCUAGCUUUACACUGAAGAUUGAAGCCCAAUAACACCUGCUAGAUUACAAUGCUAAAAAAACAUCACUGUUCCUCUCAAGAAUAUUCAUAUAUACAGUUUAAUGAUAAUUAGCAAUGGGCCCCUUGUACAAUUGCCGUUGACGUGGCGUGCUAAAGCCCCUAGGGGCUUUAUUCCACACUACCCAUCCUAAAUGAAAGGCGCUACUGAAUGGCACAAAAGUUCACAAAUGUGGCAACAAUUAACUAACUAAAAAUAGUUAUUUACAGUUGAACUCAACUAUAAAAGCCUUGUUUGAGUUCUUUCGAUCUCAUAAUCUCAUUGCUUU